GCUCGAUUGGUCAAGUGGUAAGACGCUUCUCUCACACAGAAGAGAUCAUCAGUUCGAACCUGGUAUUGAGCA
Molecule: transfer RNA, 72 nt
Filed under: Glarea lozoyensis 74030
Lineage: Eukaryota; Fungi; Ascomycota; Leotiomycetes; Helotiales; Helotiaceae
Also listed under: 1 other name
Description: tRNA-Val (CAC) (tRNA-Val-CAC-2-1)
Rfam family: tRNA
About the family: Transfer RNA (tRNA) molecules are approximately 80 nucleotides in length. Their secondary structure includes four short double-helical elements and three loops (D, anti-codon, and T loops). Further hydrogen bonds mediate the characteristic L-shaped molecular structure. tRNAs have two regions of fundamental functional importance: the anti-codon, which is responsible for specific mRNA codon recognition, and the 3' end, to which the tRNAs corresponding amino acid is attached (by aminoacyl-tRNA synthetases). tRNAs cope with the degeneracy of the genetic code in two manners: having more than one tRNA (with a specific anti-codon) for a particular amino acid; and 'wobble' base-pairing, i.e. permitting non-standard base-pairing at the 3rd anti-codon position.
Source: RNAcentral